This is a long non-coding RNA of Vombatus ursinus (common wombat), 1323 nucleotides long. RefSeq lists it as uncharacterized. The record is from RefSeq and is a predicted model, not a curated record. The transcript has 3 exons. Lineage: Eukaryota; Metazoa; Chordata; Mammalia; Diprotodontia; Vombatidae.
CUAAAACCUACCUUGCCCACUGAGCAUGCCCAGCUCCACUUGUUGGAGCUUCAACAGGGUAGGGAAGGAGAUGGGAAGUCAGCCACAGAUAUUUGCCAGGAGCAGAAUGUCUUGAUCUCUCUAACUUGGGUGAUCUGGAGAAGUAAAUUGUGUUAAGAAACAGCCUUUGUCACAUCCUCACAGACCUAAGGAACUAAGAAGCAUGAAGACGCCAAGUAACGAACUACUGAGAAUAUGGAACAAUGUGCCUCGUUCCUUAAGCUUUCUUCAGCAUAAUUUUGAGUGAUCUGGGAAUAAAAUUUGCCCAGAGGAAUAAGCACCAUGUUAUAAGACACCUCCACUCAUUUUCUGGUGGAUGCAAAGAGGAAAAAUGAAAUAUAAAUUGUCUGUUAAUGCUUCCCUAGUUACCCUUUCUAUUUAUAUAUCCAUUUCUAACUCUUUUUCUAGACAUUAAUGCUUUUGUGGGAGGCUACAGUAAGGAGAAACUUAAACAGUUAGCUGGAGAUGUAAUCAAUAGCUGUUAAAUGAAAAAAAUUAGUUUUGGUUUUAAGGGGUCUUUUCUAUUUCUGCUGACUGACCUUUAAAAUUUAUGCAGCAGUUGAAAAUAAAAGCAAUUGGGGAAAUCCUGGCAUUUGCAUUUAACAUCAGUCACUGAAGUUUCAAGAGAUAAACAAUUGGUAGAAAUGCAUUCUAUUAUACAUAAUAUUCCUUCCUAUAUUCCCUCAGAGUCAUUUUCAGUCAGACCAGAAUAUUCGAUUGUAUACUGAUAUGUUUCACCAAAGAGAUAAGUCAUUAUUUAAGUAGGUCUAGUAAGAAAUGGGAUAAAUCUAAAUGGAAGGAGAUAUGCAGGGAAAGGUGACCUUUACUGGUCCAACAAUUUUCUCUGCUUUAAGGGUGCUUAGAGCAACCCUGCCAAGUUUGUUAGGCUUUAACAAUUCACUAUACCACUAAAGCAAUUCCUUUUCAUAGACUCUAUCUUAAAUAUAACAACAUUUGUUUUGCUUAACCAAUGUUUGCUGCAAUUCCAAAUACUUUGAAUAAAGUUUAACAUUGCAGCUCAUUCUUCAAGGGCAUGAGUAAAAGGAUUAAAAUAGAAGUGAUACUGUUUGAGAAGGAUGCUCCUGAGUUGGAGAGGUCCAGAGAGCAACAUGAAUGAUGAAGUCCAUACCAUAUGAUGAGCAUUGAAGCGAAGGAGGGAUUUUUUUUUUAGCUUGGAGAAGAGUAGGCCCAAGGGAUAUAAUUGUUUUCAAGUGCUUAAAGGCUGUUCUGUAUAAAAGGGAUUAGGCUUGGUUCUAUUUGGCCCUAAGUGCAUAUUUAGGAAGA